Molecule: ribosomal RNA, 412 nt
Filed under: uncultured bacterium
Lineage: Bacteria
Description: bacterial SSU rRNA
Rfam family: Bacterial small subunit ribosomal RNA
Source: RNAcentral
GAUGAACGCUGGCGGCGUGCUUAACACAUGCAAGUCGAGSGAAGCACUUACCAUUGACUCUUCGGAAGAUUUGGUAAAUGACUGAGCGGCGGACGGGKGAGUAACGCGKGGGUAACCUGCCUCAUACAGGGGAAUAACAGUUAGAAAUGGCUGCUAAUGCCGCAUAAGCGCACAGUACCGCAUGGUACGGUGUGAAAAACUGAGGUGGUAUGAGAUGGACCCGCGUCUGAUUAGGUAGUUGGUGGGGUAACGGCCUACCAAGCCGACGAUCAGUAGCCGGCCUGAGAGGGUGAACGGCCACAUUGGGACUGAGACACGGCCCAGACUCCUACGGGAGGCAGCAGUGGGGAAUAUUGCACAAUGGGGGAAACCCUGAUGCAGCGACGCCGCGUGAAGGAAGAAGUAUCUCGGU